RNAcentral lists this ribosomal RNA (377 nucleotides) under uncultured bacterium. Its description in RNAcentral is "bacterial SSU rRNA". It matches the Rfam family "Bacterial small subunit ribosomal RNA", at positions 30 to 407 of the family's 1533-position model. The record is from RNAcentral.
AUUGAACGCUGGCGGAAUGCUUUACACAUGCAAGUCGAGCGGCAGCACGGGGGCAACCCUGGUGGCGAGCGGCGAACGGGUGAGUAACACAUCGGAACGUACCCUGUCGUGGGGGAUAACGAGUCGAAAGAUUCGCUAAUACCGCAUACGACCCGAGGGUGAAAGCAGGGGAUCGCAAGACCUUGCGCUGAUUGAGCGGCCGAUAUCAGAUUAGCUAGUUGGUGAGGUAAAGGCUCACCAAGGCGACGAUCUGUAGCGGGUCUGAGAGGAUGAUCCGCCACACUGGAACUGAGACACGGUCCAGACUCCUACGGGAGGCAGCAGUGGGGAAUUUUGGACAAUGGGCGCAAGCCUGAUCCAGCCAUGCCGCGUGAGUG